This 411-nucleotide ribosomal RNA is filed under the name Scheffersomyces shehatae. Its description in RNAcentral is "partial large subunit ribosomal RNA". It matches the Rfam family "Eukaryotic large subunit ribosomal RNA", at positions 144 to 562 of the family's 3401-position model. Lineage: Eukaryota; Fungi; Ascomycota; Pichiomycetes; Serinales; Debaryomycetaceae. The record is from RNAcentral.
UGUAAUUUGAAGAAGGUAACUUUGGAGUUGGCUCUUGUCUAUGUUCCUUGGAACAGGACGUCACAGAGGGUGAGAAUCCCGUGCGAUGAGAUGUCCAACUCUAUGUAAAGUGCUUUCGAAGAGUCGAGUUGUUUGGGAAUGCAGCUCUAAGUGGGUGGUAAAUUCCAUCUAAAGCUAAAUAUUGGCGAGAGACCGAUAGCGAACAAGUACAGUGAUGGAAAGAUGAAAAGAACUUUGAAAAGAGAGUGAAAAAGUACGUGAAAUUGUUGAAAGGGAAGGGUUUGAGAUCAGACUUGGUAUUUUGUAUGUCUUGCUUUCGGGUGGGGCCUCUGCAGUUUACUGGGCCAGCAUCGGUUUGGACGGUAGGAUAAUGACAUUGGAAUGUGGCACUACUUCGGUGGUGUGUUAUAG